UCAGUAACUCCGGCAACUAAUGCUGUGAACCUAAACUCCUCGGGAGGAGGUUAGGUCAAUCUGUCAUCGAUGAAAGGACAGAUCUCCGCACAUCGUGGAUUUAUCCUCAGCCUAGAAUAAAAUCUAAACCCUGCUUUCUGAAACAGGGCCUAGCAGCAAAUACUUAGCUUGCUGAAGCGAAGCAGUGUUUUGGCGGCCCAGUGGACAGUGUAGCAGGGUCUCCUCCUCUCCGGGUCUCAAGUUGCUGAUAGGAAAGGUCGGCAGCUCAGGUGAGAAACUACCGACGAACUGAGCUGCAGAAUAAGGUCAGCAGGAGAGCGCAAACACGGAUAUGUUGCCCACAAAACCAGCAUGAAGCGACUUGGUCCGACUGUUGACAGGCUCGUGGUCCAGUCCCUGCAGAGUAACACCUCCCCCUGUAGGAUCAAGACAGGACUUCAGCCUAGAAACCUCAAACGCCUGGCCGCAUCACAUGAAGGCUUCUGAGAAACGAAAACCAAAGAGCAGAGACCGAGAGACGAUCCUUUGACAGUGAGUCAGUCAGUUCCUAUGUUUCCAUGUCCAAUCCAUUGUGAACAUGUUUACGAGAAGGAAUGAAGGAACCAGCGUUGUGCCGUCCGAGGUUCCACAUUUACAGUGAGCGCACGGAAGGGGGGUGGGAGGUGGAAGGAGAAAGGAAGGUAAGAGGAACUGAUGGAGAAAUAACUGGAGAACACAAUGAAUGUGGCGAGGGCUAAAAGACACACACUCCCGCUCCUCUCCGAAUAAAGAAAAAAACCUGAGAAAGCAGAAAUCUGAGAGAGGUGGAUACAGGGCUUCUGCACUGGGGUAGCAGGAAUGAAGGAGAACUAAGGAUUCUGGGUAAAUUGAUGGUGGGAGGAGGGAUGGAGCGCCCAACAUGGGUUGCCAGUGUUUUUCUGGCACCUGGACGAAGAGGAUGUCCAUGGCUGUCGAGGGUAGAAGGGGCAGUUGAACCAAGAGCCAGCAGAUGGGGGGGGCCUAGAGUCCAUCGUGGGUGGUCAACAUGUCUUCAGCUCUGCGGUGGGACUCCAAGGCUUUUGUGGUGUAGAUAUCCUGAGGCAACUCAGACUUGCGUCGCACCAUAGGCCGUUCUUUCCGCUGUUCAUGCUGCAACUGAGAGGAGACCAGAAAAGUGAGGCUUAAUUAGAAACACGUCAUCGUCUCUUGUCAACUGUUCUGAUCACAUCUUCAUGAGAUGAAGCACAAUUCAGUUACAUCAAAAUCUAAUUUACAGAGGAAAAGCAACACCAAAUUAAAAUAUGGCAUUACAGGUAUGACAUUCAGCCGUACCUAGGCAAAAAUAUUAUAACAACUUUAAAUUAAAUACACAGCAUCAGAAGUCCUGCACUACAUUUAUGGAGCCCCAAAGUGUUCAAUAUUAAAUAUAUAAACACAUUGUCAGAUAAACAACUACUUUAAGAGAUCUAAGAAAUGAUUACUCAUUGACAAUGACAACUCAACUGAUUAUGAAUUCUUAUUCAACAGUGUUUUAUUGGAGUAAAGUCAUUUAAGAAGAUUUUAUUUCAUAACUGCAUUUUUUUUCGUUACAUUUUAUUUCUUUCCACAUACCAUAAUUUUUUACAUCAUAAUGACAUUUUUCAUGAUAGUGGUAGAGU
Molecule: long non-coding RNA, 1637 nt
Organism: Micropterus dolomieu (smallmouth bass)
Lineage: Eukaryota; Metazoa; Chordata; Actinopteri; Centrarchiformes; Centrarchidae
Exons: 3
Source: RefSeq, a predicted model, not a curated record